GGGUAUAUAGCUCAAGAGCACAUGCUUAGUAUGCACAAAGUCCUGGGUUCAAUUCCCAAUAUCUUCA
RNAcentral lists this transfer RNA (67 nucleotides) under Camelus bactrianus (Bactrian camel). It matches the Rfam family "tRNA". From Rfam's summary of the family: Transfer RNA (tRNA) molecules are approximately 80 nucleotides in length. RNAcentral also lists the same sequence under 2 other names. The record is from Rfam by way of RNAcentral. Lineage: Eukaryota; Metazoa; Chordata; Mammalia; Artiodactyla; Camelidae.